CAGUAGCCGCGGGAAUACAGAGGGUGCGAGCGUUAAUCGGAUUUACUGGGCGUAAAGCGUGCGUAGGCGGCUUUUUAAGUCGGAUGUGAAAUCCCUGAGCUUAACUUAGGAAUUGCAUUCGAUACUGGGAAGCUAGAGUAUGGGAGAGGAUGGUAGAAUUCCAGGUGUAGCGGUGAAAUGCGUAGAGAUCUGGAGGAAUACCGAUGGCGAAGGCAGCCAUCUGGCCUAAUACUGACGCUGAGGUACGAAAGCAUGGGGAGCAAACAGGAUUAGAUACCCCCGUAGUUCCUGUCUCUUAUAC
This 301-nucleotide ribosomal RNA is filed under the name uncultured bacterium. RNAcentral describes it as "partial 16S ribosomal RNA". It matches the Rfam family "Bacterial small subunit ribosomal RNA", at positions 509 to 807 of the family's 1533-position model. The record is from RNAcentral.